This 513-nucleotide ribosomal RNA is filed under the name uncultured bacterium. RNAcentral's name for it is "partial 16S ribosomal RNA". It matches the Rfam family "Bacterial small subunit ribosomal RNA", at positions 28 to 523 of the family's 1533-position model. The record is from RNAcentral.
GACGAACGCUGGCGGCGUGCCUAAUACAUGCAAGUUGAGCGCUGAAGGUUGGUACUUGUACCGACUGGAUGAGCAGCGAACGGGUGAGUAACGCGUGGGGAAUCUGCCUUUGAGCGGGGGACAACAUUUGGAAACGAAUGCUAAUACCGCAUAAAAACUUUAAACACAAGUUUUAAGUUUGAAAGAUGCAAUUGCAUCGCUCAAAGAUGAUCCCGCGUUGUAUUAGCUAGUUGGUGAGGUAAAGGCGCACCAAGGCGAUGAUACAUAGCCGACCUGACAGGGUGAUCGGCCACAUUGGGACUGAGACACGGCCCAAACUCCUACGGGAGGCAGCAGUAGGGAAUCUUCGGCAAUGGACGAAAGUCUGACCGAGCAACGCAGCGUGAGUGAAGAAGGUUUUCGGAUCGUAAAACUCUGUUGGUAGAGAAGAACGUUGGUGAGAGUGGAAAGCUCAUCAAGUGACGGUAACUACCCAGAAAGGGACGGCUAACUACGUGCCAGCCGCCGCCGUAA